AGAGUUUGCUCCUGGCUCAGGACGAACGCUGGCGGCGUGCCUAAUACAUGCAAGUCGAGCGAGCAGAACUAACAGAUCUACUUCGGUAGUGACGUUAGGGACGCGAGCGGCGGAUGGGUGAGUAACACGUGGGUAGCCUGCCCCGCAGACUGGGAUACCACUUGGAAACAGGUGCUAAUACCGGAUAACAACAGUUGCCGCAUGGCAGCAGUUUAAAAGGCGGUUUCGACCGUCACUGCAGGAUGGACCCGCGGUGCAUUAGCUAGUUGGUAAGGUAACGGCUUACCAAGGCAAUGAUGCAUAGCCGAGUUGAGAGACUGAUCGGCCACAUUGGGACUAAGACACGGCCCAAACUCCUACGGGAGGCAGCAGUAGGGAAUCUUCGAGAGUGGGACGCAAGUCUGAUGGAGCAACGCCGCGUGAGUGAAGAAGGUUUUCGGAUCGUAAAGCUCUGUUGUUGGUGAAGAAGGAUAGAGGUAGGAAAUGGCCUGUUAUUUGACGGUAAUCAACCAGAAAGUCACGGGCUAACUACGUGCCAGCAGCCCGCGGGUAAUACGUAGGUGGCAAGCGUUGUCCGGGAUUUAUUGGGCGUAAAGCGAGUGCAGGCGGGUUAAAUAAGUCUGAUGUGAAAGGCCCUCGGGCUCAGCCGAGGAAUUGCAUCGGAAACUGUUCAACUUGAGUGCAGAAGGAGGAGAGUGGAACUCCAUGUGUAGCCGGUGGAAUGCGUAGAUAUAUGGAAGAACACCAGUGGGCGAAGGCGGCUCUCUGGUCUUGUAACUGACGCUGAAGGCUUCGAAAGCAUGGGUUAGGCGACAGGAAUAGAUACCCCUGGUAGUUCAAUGGCCGUAAACCAAUGAAGUGCUAAGUGAUUGGGAGGUUUUCGGCCUCUCAAGUGCUUUGGCAGCCUAAACCGCAUAUAAGGCACUCUCCCCUGAGGGGAGAGUACGACCCCAAGGUUGAAACCUCAAAAGGGAAUUGCGGGGGGCCCGCACAAAGCGGGAGGGAGCAUGUGGGUUUAAUUCGAAGCAACGCGAAGAACCUUACCAGUCUUGACAUUAGUGCCAUCCUAGAGAAUUAGGAGUUCCUCGGGGACGCUAAGACAGGGGUGCAGGCUGUCGUCAGCUCGUGUGUGAGAGUUGGGUUAAGUCCCGCAACGAGCGCACCCUUGUUAUUAGUUGCCAGCAUAAGUUGGGCACUCUAAUGAGACUGCGGUGACAAACCGGAGGAAGGUGGGGAUGACGUCAAGUCAUCAUCCCCUUAGACCUGGGCUACACACGUGCUACAAUGGUCGGCACAAUGAGCAGCGAACCUGUGAAGGCAAGCGAAUCUCUGAAAGCCGAUCUCAGUUCGGACUGUAGUCUGCAACCCGACUACACGAAGCUGGAAUCGUAGUAAUCGCGGAUCAGCACGCCGCGGUGAAUACGUUCCCGGGCCUUGUACACACCGCCCGUCACACCAUGGGAGUCUCCAAUGCCCAAAGCCGGUAAGCUAACCGCAAGGGAGCAGCCGUCUAAGGCAGGGGAGAUGACUGUGAAGUCGUAACAAGGUAACC
Molecule: ribosomal RNA, 1552 nt
Filed under: uncultured Lactobacillus sp.
Lineage: Bacteria; Bacillati; Bacillota; Bacilli; Lactobacillales; Lactobacillaceae
Description: bacterial SSU rRNA
Rfam family: Bacterial small subunit ribosomal RNA
Source: RNAcentral